This 435-nucleotide ribosomal RNA is filed under the name uncultured bacterium. RNAcentral describes it as "bacterial SSU rRNA". It matches the Rfam family "Bacterial small subunit ribosomal RNA", at positions 957 to 1391 of the family's 1533-position model. The record is from RNAcentral.
GAACGCGAAGAACCUUACCAAAUCUUGACAUCCUUUGACCGCUCUAGAGAUAGAGUCUUCCCCUUCGGGGGACAAAGUGACAGGUGGUGCAUGGUUGUCGUCAGCUCGUGUCGUGAGAUGUUGGGUUAAGUCCCGCAACGAGCGCAACCCUUAAGCUUAGUUGCCAUCAUUAAGUUGGGCACUCUAAGUUGACUGCCGGUGACAAACCGGAGGAAGGUGGGGAUGACGUCAAAUCAUCAUGCCCCUUAUGAUUUGGGCUACACACGUGCUACAAUGGACAAUACAAAGGGCAGCUAAACCGCGAGGUCAAGCAAAUCCCAUAAAGUUGUUCUCAGUUCGGAUUGUAGUCUGCAACUCGACUACAUGAAGCUGGAAUCGCUAGUAAUCGUAGAUCAGCAUGCUACGGUGAAUACGUUCCCGGGUCUUGUACACACC